GCUCCCGGGAGGUUAAACACCUGGCGGGGUUUGAAGGGGCGGUGGGUAACCGGGCCGGGAACAGGGAUACACCUCCGAGAAGACGGUCGGCAAUACCGGAUAGUUCCUUGUACCCCGGGGGGGAUAAAGGCAUGAAAGAACCUUUUCGGCUAUCACUUUUAUGAUGGUACCCCGUACCCAUUAGCUUGUUGGGGCCUUAACGGCUCACCAGGGCGACGAGGCGUAGCCCACCUGAAAAGGGGAUCGGCAAAUCUGGGACUGACCCCCGGCCCAGACUCCUACGGGAGGCAGCAGUAGGGAAUCUUCCGCAAUGGACGAAAGUCUGACAGAGCGGCUCCGCGUGAGUGAUGAAGGUUUUCGGAUCUUAAAGCUCUGUUGUUAAGGAAGAACAAGUGCAASAGUAACUGCUUGCCMCUUGACGGUACCUAACCAGAAAGCCACGGCUAACUACGUGCCAGCAGCCGCGGUAAUACGUAKGUGGCAAGCGUUGUCCGGAAUUAUUGGGCGUAAAGGGCUCGCAGGCGGUUUCUUAAGUCUGAUGUGAAAGCCCCCGGCUCAMCCGGGGAGGGUCAUUGGGAAACUGGGAAACUUGAGUGCAGAARAGGAGASUGGAAUUCCACGUGUAGCGKUGAAAUGCGUAGAGAUGUGGAGGAACACCAGUGGCGAAGGCSACUCUCUGGUCUGUAACUGACGCUGARGAGCGAAAGCGUGGGGAGCGAACAGGAUUAGAUACCCUGGUAGUCCACGCCGUAAACGAUGAGUGCUAAGUGUUAGGGGGUUUCCGCCCCUUAGUGCUGCAGCUAACGCAUUAAGCACUCCGCCUGGGGAGUACGGUCGCAAGACUGAAACUCAAAGGAAUUGACGGGGGCCCGCACAAGCGGUGGAGCAUGUGGUUUAAUUCGAAGCAACGCGAAGAACCUUACCAGGUCUUGACAUCCUCUGACAACCCUAGAGAUAGGGCUUUCCCUUCGGGGACAGAGUGACAGGUGGUGCAUGGUUGUCGUCAGCUCGUGUCGUGAGAUGUUGGGUUAAGUCCCGCAACGAGCGCAACCCUUGAUCUUAGUUGCCAGCAUUCAGUUGGGCACUCUAAGGUGACUGCCGGUGACAAACCGGAGGAAGGUGGGGAUGACGUCAAAUCAUCAUGCCCCUUAUGACCUGGGCUACACACGUGCUACAAUGGACAGAACAAAGGGCUGCGAGACCGCAAGGUUUAGCCAAUCCCACAAAUCUGUUCUCAGUUCGGAUCGCAGUCUGCAACUCGACUGCGUGAAGCUGGAAUCGCUAGUAAUCGCGGAUCAGCAUGCCGCGGUGAAUACGUUCCCGGGCCUUGUACACACCGCCCGUCACACCACGAGAGUUUGCAACACCCGAAGUCGGUGAGGUAACC
This 1387-nucleotide ribosomal RNA is filed under the name Bacillus xiamenensis. RNAcentral's name for it is "bacterial SSU rRNA". Lineage: Bacteria; Bacillati; Bacillota; Bacilli; Caryophanales; Bacillaceae. The record is from RNAcentral.